Molecule: long non-coding RNA, 304 nt
Organism: Musca domestica (house fly)
Lineage: Eukaryota; Metazoa; Arthropoda; Insecta; Diptera; Muscidae
Exons: 3
Source: RefSeq, a predicted model, not a curated record
AUCAAAUAGACAAUCAUUUCUUUAGUUGGUGUUGAAUAGUGCAAGGGAGUAGUGCACGUGCUCGUGGGAAUAGUGCUUGGUAUAAAGUUGUUUUUUUCUCUGGUGUCUUUUUUUUGGGUGCUCGUGCGUACAUUUUUGUCGGUGUUUGGCGUUUUGUAGUUUUUUUCACAAUGGCUGAGGAAUAUAAUUUAAAAUCUUUCUUUACCAGCACUCCCUUAAAUAUACAUACAAUUUGUAAUGGAAAUACAUAUUUUAGAAAUAUGCGGUAUUAAUAAAUAAAUAAUAAAUAAACUUGUAAAAAUUA